AGGAAGAAGAGAGUUAGUGCACUCUGGAGGCUGUGUGUGUUGAAGUGUGAAUGCCUAUACAAAAAUAGAUGGGAGACGCUGGAGGUCUCAAAGCAGCGAGCUGCAAAUGGAGGCUUAUGAGGUGGAUCUAUUUCGACCAUCUUCCCUUUGCAAGAGAGAAAAGACAAUCGUAGGCAGCGGGGAGAGGCACCCGACCCUGAUUUUCAGGGAUUGCCUGGACACAUUGUGGCAGUGAACCCCACCUGCCUUUUGGCCAGACCAGCUGCCGGACCCUUCCUGCACCUUCCAGAGAGGACUCUGCUGGGGUAAGUGGAUUCAGCCAAGCUGCGAGUGCACCAGCCGCUUGUGUUGGGCCUCACCGUACUGCUCCUUGCAGCAGCAUCUCAGCCUGCUAAAUGCUGCCCUACAGAGGAUGCUGCUGUCAGGCAGCUCCGCACCUGGCAGCUUCCUGCCUCUCCCAGUGGUUUGCUUCAUUUGCGAGGCUGCUGUAUCGCAGAGGAAUUCCGCAGCGGCACCGCUGUGGAUCAGCGGAAAGCAUCUCGCUGGGAAAGUUUUCUGUAAAUAACACCUCGGUUGGGUUUUGCCUCAGCUUCACCUAUUAUUUCCAAAUGAUGUGGCUGAUGGUGUGCACAGGCUCCUGCCUGCUCGCAGACACCAUCAUCCCCUGUGUGACCCGAGCAUUUUCCAGUUGCAACACUGCAACCAAAGGCUUGUGGUGUCCCAUGUGGCGGCCACAGCAGCAGCAGGCACAUGUGGGAAGCCCCAGUCCUAUUUCCAUGCAGAUUCCCCCCUUACUAACAAUUGUUGUUUCAACAAGGGAGUAGGAAUCUAGCCCCCGAGGCUCGCUGUUUGGGGUUACAUAGGUGGCACACAAAGACUGCCCCUGAGAGCGACAGGAGCCGAGUGCCCCGGAACCCGCAGCCCCCCCGGGCCUGCAGCCCGAGUGCGUUAAGCGGGUGAGCGGAGCGUGUGCGGGGAGCCGGGGCCGGGAAGGGCUUGCGGGCGGAGCCGGGCGCA
Chroicocephalus ridibundus (black-headed gull) is the source of this 1017-nucleotide long non-coding RNA. RefSeq lists it as uncharacterized. The record is from RefSeq and is a predicted model, not a curated record. Lineage: Eukaryota; Metazoa; Chordata; Aves; Charadriiformes; Laridae. The transcript is spliced from 3 exons.